RNAcentral lists this ribosomal RNA (433 nucleotides) under uncultured bacterium. RNAcentral's name for it is "partial 16S ribosomal RNA". It matches the Rfam family "Bacterial small subunit ribosomal RNA", at positions 29 to 507 of the family's 1533-position model. The record is from RNAcentral.
AACGAACGCUGGCGGCAUGCCUAACACAUGCAAGUCGAACGAGACCUUCGGGUCUAGUGGCGCACGGGUGCGUAACGCGUGGGAAUCUACCCUCAGGUUCGGAAUAACUCAGAGAAAUUUGAGCUAAUACCGGAUGAUGACGUAAGUCCAAAGAUUUAUCGCCUGAGGAUGAGCCCGCUUAGGAUUAGGUAGUUGGUGAGGUAAAGGCUCACCAAGCCGACGAUCCUUAGCUGGUCUGAGAGGAUGAUCAGCCACACUGGGACUGAGACACGGCCCAGACUCCUACGGGAGGCAGCAGUGGGGAAUAUUGGACAAUGGGCGAAAGCCUGAUCCAGCAAUGCCGCGUGAGUGAUGAAGGCCUUAGGGUUGUAAAGCUCUUUUACCCGGGAUGAUAAUGACAGUACCGGGAGAAUAAGCUCCGGCUAACUCCGUG